RNAcentral lists this ribosomal RNA (467 nucleotides) under Sutcliffiella horikoshii. RNAcentral's name for it is "bacterial SSU rRNA". It matches the Rfam family "Bacterial small subunit ribosomal RNA", at positions 1 to 455 of the family's 1533-position model. Lineage: Bacteria; Bacillati; Bacillota; Bacilli; Caryophanales; Bacillaceae. The record is from RNAcentral.
UUUAUUGGAGAGUUUGAUCCUGGCUCAGGACGAACGCUGGCGGCGUGCCUAAUACAUGCAAGUCGAGCGGACCUUUUAAAAGCUUGCUUUUGAAAGGUCAGCGGCGGACGGGUGAGUAACACGUGGGCAACCUGCCUGUAAGACUGGGAUAACUUCGGGAAACCGGAGCUAAUACCGGAUAAUAUAAAGAACCUCCUGGUUCUUUAUUGAAAGAUGGUUUCGGCUAUCACUUACAGAUGGGCCCGCGGCGCAUUAGCUAGUUGGUGAGGUAACGGCUCACCAAGGCGACGAUGCGUAGCCGACCUGAGAGGGUGAUCGGCCACACUGGGACUGAGACACGGCCCAGACUCCUACGGGAGGCAGCAGUAGGGAAUCUUCCACAAUGGACGAAAGUCUGAUGGAGCAACGCCGCGUGAGCGAUGAAGGCCUUCGGGUCGUAAAGCUCUGUUGUUAGGGAAGAACAAGUG